UUGUUCCUCGUGACGUUCAUUUGUAGCCAAGUGAACCUUGCCUCAUUUGAUUUCAUCUGGGAGAAAACCAUCCGGUUGUAUUUGUCCCUAAACAACUCAAUGGCUACAAAAAAUUCCUCUGUACCUUCUUCAACUCCACAUUCUAUUGCCUUAUUGAUGCAUUCCUGUACCUCAUAACCGGCCAUUUCCUCAUUUUUCCUCCUGUACUCCAUCUCCAUUGCCCUCUGCUUCAUCUCCAUCUCCCUCUGCUUCAUCUCCAUCUCCCUCUGCUUCAUCUCCAUCUCCUUCUGCUUCAGC
RNAcentral lists this long non-coding RNA (297 nucleotides) under Setaria italica (foxtail millet). RNAcentral describes it as "long non-coding RNA (SITA_LNC003537)". The record is from RNAcentral. Lineage: Eukaryota; Viridiplantae; Streptophyta; Magnoliopsida; Poales; Poaceae.